GCUGGAGUCGCCUAACCAGGUAUGGCACGAGGUUGCUAACCUCGCGCAGCUUGCUGCUUGCGAGUUCAAAUCUCGCCUCCAGCG
Molecule: transfer RNA, 84 nt
Filed under: Candidatus Aenigmatarchaeota archaeon
Lineage: Archaea; Nanobdellati; Candidatus Aenigmatarchaeota
Description: tRNA-Ser
Rfam family: tRNA
About the family: Transfer RNA (tRNA) molecules are approximately 80 nucleotides in length. Their secondary structure includes four short double-helical elements and three loops (D, anti-codon, and T loops). Further hydrogen bonds mediate the characteristic L-shaped molecular structure. tRNAs have two regions of fundamental functional importance: the anti-codon, which is responsible for specific mRNA codon recognition, and the 3' end, to which the tRNAs corresponding amino acid is attached (by aminoacyl-tRNA synthetases). tRNAs cope with the degeneracy of the genetic code in two manners: having more than one tRNA (with a specific anti-codon) for a particular amino acid; and 'wobble' base-pairing, i.e. permitting non-standard base-pairing at the 3rd anti-codon position.
Source: RNAcentral